CACCGGCACCUUCACGGUAAGAAGUUGCAAAUCCCGUCAGGACCGGAAGGUAGCAGCGGUAGCAGCCGAUUAGGCGCUAGAGGAUCUGCUGGUGUGG
Molecule: signal recognition particle RNA, 97 nt
Filed under: Legionellales bacterium
Lineage: Bacteria; Pseudomonadati; Pseudomonadota; Gammaproteobacteria; Legionellales
Description: signal recognition particle sRNA small type
Rfam family: Bacterial small signal recognition particle RNA
About the family: The signal recognition particle (SRP) is a universally conserved ribonucleoprotein involved in the co-translational targeting of proteins to membranes. Archaeal SRP consists of a 7S RNA and homologues of the eukaryotic SRP19 and SRP54 proteins.
Source: RNAcentral